RNAcentral lists this non-coding RNA (21 nucleotides) under Caenorhabditis elegans. Lineage: Eukaryota; Metazoa; Nematoda; Chromadorea; Rhabditida; Rhabditidae. The record is from RNAcentral.
UUUUAUUUAAUUUAGAUACAU